AAUAGAGCGAGUUACUUUGGGGAGUCCAAUAGAUGGGGGUUGGGGCGAGGAGAAGCGAGCAGAAGAGAUAAAGGUUAUGAUUGAAGGGGGAACCCAUAAGGCAGAGGAGGUGUUAGGGGUUUUAUGGGUAAGGGUGAUGACUUGUGCGUAGAGGUAAAGGGUUAGUGUGGAAGGAGCAGGGAAGUUGAGGGAGAGAAGGCGUAAGCGAAACUAAAUUGAGACACUUAGUUGGAAGUGGUAAAGACAACAGUUUGAAUGGUUUGAGGAAUGUCAUAAUAUGCCAAAAUAAUUUGGUCUACUCAUAGAGUUUAUUUUUGGACUGCCACAUAUGAGGAAGUAAGAACUAUUGAUACUAGUAUUGGUGAUUUAGCAGGACAGAGAGAUGAU
This 387-nucleotide long non-coding RNA is filed under the name Carica papaya (papaya). Its description in RNAcentral is "long non-coding RNA (CPAP_LNC014599)". Lineage: Eukaryota; Viridiplantae; Streptophyta; Magnoliopsida; Brassicales; Caricaceae. The record is from RNAcentral.